GCCUAACACAUGCAAGUCGAACGGUGAAGCCCAGCUUGCUGGGUGGAUCAGUGGCGAACGGGUGAGUAACACGUGAGUAACCUGCCCCUGACUCUGGGAUAAGCCUUGGAAACGAGGUCUAAUACCGGAUACGAGACGCUCGGGCAUCCGAAGUGUCUGGAAAGAUUUAUCGGUCAGGGAUGGACUCGCGGCCUAUCAGCUUGUUGGUGGGGUAGUGGCCCACCAAGGCGACGACGGGUAGCCGGCCUGAGAGGGCGACCGGCCACACUGUGGACUGAGACACGGCCCAGACUCCUACGGGAGGCAGCAGUGGGGAAUAUUGCACAAUGGGCGCAAGCCUGAUGCAGCGACGCCGCGUGAGGGAUGAAGGCCUUCGGGUUGUAAACCUCUUUCAGCAGGGAAGAAGCGCAAGUGACGGUACCUGCAGAAGAAGCGCCGGCUAACUACGUGCCAGCAGCCGCGGUAAUACGUAGGGCGCAAGCGUUGUCCGGAAUUAUUGGGCGUAAAGAGCUCGUAGGCGGUUUGUCGCGUCUGCUGUGAAAACUCGAGGCUCAACCUCGGGCUUGCAGUGGGUACGGGCAGACUAGAGUGCGGUAGGGGAGACUGGAAUUCCUGGUGUAGCGGUGGAAUGCGCAGAUAUCAGGAGGAACACCGAUGGCGAAGGCAGGUCUCUGGGCCGCAACUGACGCUGAGGAGCGAAAGCAUGGGGAGCGAACAGGAUUAGAUACCCUGGUAGUCCAUGCCGUAAACGUUGGGCACUAGGUGUGGGGCUCAUUCCACGAGUUCCGUGCCGCAGCAAACGCAUUAAGUGCCCCGCCUGGGGAGUACGGCCGCAAGGCUAAAACUCAAAGAAAUUGACGGGGGCCCGCACAAGCGGCGGAGCAUGCGGAUUAAUUCGAUGCAACGCGAAGAACCUUACCAAGGCUUGACAUACACCGGAAACUUCCAGAGAUGGUUGCCCCGCAAGGUCGGUGUACAGGUGGUGCAUGGUUGUCGUCAGCUCGUGUCGUGAGAUGUUGGGUUAAGUCCCGCAACGAGCGCAACCCUCGUCCUAUGUUGCCAGCGGGUCAUGCCGGGGACUCAUAGGAGACUGCCGGGGUCAACUCGGAGGAAGGUGGGGAUGACGUCAAAUCAUCAUGCCCCUUAUGUCUUGGGCUUCACGCAUGCUACAAUGGCCGGUACAAAGGGCUGCGAUACCGCGAGGUGGAGCGAAUCCCAARAAGCCGGUCUCAGUUCGGAUUGGGGUCUGCAACUCGACCCCAUGAAGUCGGAGUCGCUAGUAAUCGCAGAUCAGCAACGCUGCGGUGAAUACGUUCCCGGGCCUUGUACACACCGCCC
RNAcentral lists this ribosomal RNA (1338 nucleotides) under Cellulomonas sp. ER1. RNAcentral describes it as "16S ribosomal RNA". It matches the Rfam family "Bacterial small subunit ribosomal RNA", at positions 46 to 1395 of the family's 1533-position model. The record is from RNAcentral. Lineage: Bacteria; Bacillati; Actinomycetota; Actinomycetes; Micrococcales; Cellulomonadaceae.